CAGGCCUAACACAUGCAAGUCGAACGGAAAGGCCCUGCUUUUGUGGGGUGCUCGAGUGGCGAACGGUUGAGUAACACGUGAGUAACCUGCCCUUGACUUUGGGAUAACUUCAGGAAACUGGGGCUAAUACCGGAUAGGAGCUCCUGCUGCAUGGUGGGGGUUGGAAAGUUUCGGCGGUUGGGGAUGGACUCGCGGCUUAUCAGCUUGUUGGUGGGGUAGUGGCUUACCAAGGCUUUGACGGGUAGCCGGCCUGAGAGGGUGACCGGCCACAUUGGGACUGAGAUACGGCCCAGACUCCUACGGGAGGCAGCAGUGGGGAAUAUUGCACAAUGGGCGGAAGCCUGAUGCAGCAACGCCGCGUGCGGGAUGACGGCCUUCGGGUUGUAAACCGCUUUCGCCUGUGACGAAGCGUGAGUGACGGUAAUGGGUAAAGAAGCACCGGCUAACUACGUGCCAGCAGCCGCGGUGAUACGUAGGGUGCGAGCGUUGUCCGGAUUUAUUGGGCGUAAAGGGCUCGUAGGUGGUUGAUCGCGUCGGAAGUGUAAUCUUGGGGCUUAACCCUGAGCGUGCUUUCGAUACGGGUUGACUUGAGGAAGGUAGGGGAGAAUGGAAUUCCUGGUGGAGCGGUGGAAUGCGCAGAUAUCAGGAGGAACACCAGUGGCGAAGGCGGUUCUCUGGGCCUUUCCUGACGCUGAGGAGCGAAAGCGUGGGGAGCGAACAGGCUUAGAUACCCUGGUAGUCCACGCUGUA
RNAcentral lists this ribosomal RNA (750 nucleotides) under uncultured bacterium. RNAcentral describes it as "bacterial SSU rRNA". It matches the Rfam family "Bacterial small subunit ribosomal RNA", at positions 43 to 804 of the family's 1533-position model. The record is from RNAcentral.